UCCAUCGUGGUGUAGUGGCUAACAUUGCUGUCUUUCAUCCAGAUCAUAUAACACAGCAGCCCGGGGUUCGAUUCCCCGCGAUGGAA
This is a non-coding RNA of Dendrothele bispora CBS 962.96, 86 nucleotides long. NCBI's taxonomy places the organism in Eukaryota, Fungi, Basidiomycota, Agaricomycetes, Agaricales. The record is from the annotation of a GenBank genome assembly.